UUUUAUCAGAGAGUUUGAUCCUGGCUCAGGAUGAACGCUGGCGGCGUGCUUAACACAUGCAAGUCGAACGGGAAUUACUUUAUUGAAACUUCGGUCGAUUUAAUUUAAUUCUAGUGGCGGACGGGUGAGUAACGCGUGGGUAACCUGCCUU
RNAcentral lists this ribosomal RNA (151 nucleotides) under Blautia schinkii. RNAcentral's name for it is "partial 16S ribosomal RNA". It matches the Rfam family "Bacterial small subunit ribosomal RNA", at positions 1 to 132 of the family's 1533-position model. The record is from RNAcentral. Lineage: Bacteria; Bacillati; Bacillota; Clostridia; Lachnospirales; Lachnospiraceae.